Molecule: ribosomal RNA, 464 nt
Filed under: uncultured bacterium
Lineage: Bacteria
Description: partial 16S ribosomal RNA
Rfam family: Bacterial small subunit ribosomal RNA
Source: RNAcentral
CUUCCCUCUUUCUUCGUGCUUCACACCUGCAAGUCGAACGGAAAGGCUCCUGCUUGCAGGGGUACUCGAGUGGCGAACGGGUGAGUAACACGUGGGUGAUCUGCCCUGCACUUCGGGAUAAGCCUGGGAAACUGGGUCUAAUACCGGAUAGGACGAUGGUUUGGAUGCCAUUGUGGACAGUUUUUCGGUGUGGGAUGAGCUCGCGGCCUGUCAGCUUGUUGGUGGGGUAAUGGCCUACCAAGGCGUCGACGGGUAGCCGGCCUGAGAGGGUGUACGGCAAAAUGGGGAUUGAGCUAAGGCCCGGACUCCUACGGGAGGAAGCAGUGGGGAAUAUUGCACAAUGGGGGCAAGCCUAAUCAAGCGCCGCCGGGUGGGGGAUGACGGCCUUCGGGUUGUAAACUCCUUUCGCUAGGGACGAAGCGCAAGUGACGGUACCUGGAGAAGAAGCACCGGCUAACUACGUG